CCCUUAGAUGUUCUGGGCUGCACGCGCGCUACACUGAUGCGAUCAACAAGUUUUUCCUAUGUCGAUAGACACGGGUAAUCUUUUGAACUCGCAUCGUGAUGGGGAUAGAUUAUUGUAAUUAUUAAUCUUCAACGAGGAAUUCCUAGUAGGUGCAAAUCAUCAGUUUGCAUCGAUUACGUCCCUGCCCUUUGUACACACCGCCCGUCGCUGCUACCGAUUGGUUGAUCUGGUGAAUUAUUCGGACUGCCGGCUGAAGGGGUUUCCUCAUCUGCCAGCGGAAAGUCUUGUUAACCCCAUCAACUAGAGGAAGCAGAAGUCGUAACA
Molecule: ribosomal RNA, 324 nt
Filed under: uncultured eukaryote
Lineage: Eukaryota
Description: partial 18S ribosomal RNA
Rfam family: Eukaryotic small subunit ribosomal RNA
Source: RNAcentral